RNAcentral lists this ribosomal RNA (1492 nucleotides) under uncultured prokaryote. RNAcentral describes it as "partial 16S ribosomal RNA". It matches the Rfam family "Bacterial small subunit ribosomal RNA". The record is from RNAcentral.
AUGAAGAGUUUGAUCCUGGCUCAGGAUGAACGCUAGCGGCAGGCCUAACACAUGCAAGUCGAGGGGUAACAGGGAGCUUGCUCUGAUGACGACCGGCGCACGGGUGCGCACCGCGUAAGGAACCUACCCAGUACAGGGGAAUAGCCCAGGGAAACUUGGAUUAAUGCCCCGUAGUACCAUUAUAUGGCAUCAUCAUUAUGUUAAACAGUCUUCGGCGGUAUUGGAUGGCCAUGCGUCCCAUUAGCUUGAUGGUAAGGUAACGGCUUACCAUGGCUACGAUGGGUAGGGGCCCUGAGAGGGGGAUCCCCCACACUGGUACUGAGACACGGACCAGACUCCUACGGGAGGCAGCAGUGAGGAAUAUUGGACAAUGGAGGUAACUCUGAUCCAGCCAUGCCGCGUGCAGGAAGACGGCCCUAUGGGUUGUAAACUGCUUUUAUACAGGAAGAAAAAGGGGUACGUGUACCCUACUGACGGUACUGUAAGAAUAAGGACCGGCUAACUCCGUGCCAGCAGCCGCGGUAAUACGGAGGGUCCGAGCGUUAUCCGGAAUUAUUGGGUUUAAAGGGUCCGUAGGCGGAUAAUUAAGUCAGAGGUGAAAUCCUGCAGCUCAACUGUAGAAUUGCCUUUGAUACUGGUUAUCUUGAGUUAUGGUGAAGUUGCUGGAAUAUGUAGUGUAGCGGUGAAAUGCAUAGAUAUUACAUAGAACACCGAUUGCGAAGGCAGGUGACUAACCAUAUACUGACGCUGAUGGACGAAAGCGUGGGGAGCGAACAGGAUUAGAUACCCUGGUAGUCCACGCCGUAAACGAUGGAUACUAGCUGUCCGGGACAGUAAGUUCUGGGCGGCCAAGCGAAAGUGAUAAGUAUCCCACCUGGGGAGUACGUUCGCAAGAAUGAAACUCAAAGGAAUUGACGGGGGCCCGCACAAGCGGUGGAGCAUGUGGUUUAAUUCGAUGAUACGCGAGGAACCUUACCAGGGCUUAAAUGCAUUUUGACAGGGGUAGAGAUAGAUACCUUUUCCUUCGGGCAAUUUGCAAGGUGCUGCAUGGUUGUCGUCAGCUCGUGCCGUGAGGUGUCAGGUUAAGUCCUAUAACGAGCGCAACCCCUACCGUUAGUUGCCAGCGAGUCAUGUCGGGGACUCUAACGGGACUGCCGGUGCAAACCGUGAGGAAGGUGGGGAUGACGUCAAAUCAUCACGGCCCUUACGUCCUGGGCCACACACGUGCUACAAUGGCCGGUUCAGAGAGCAGCCAUCUGGCAACAGAGAGCGAAUCUACAAAACCGGUCACAGUUCGGAUCGGGGUCUGCAACUCGACCCCGUGAAGCUGGAAUCGCUAGUAAUCGGAUAUCAGCCAUGAUCCGGUGAAUACGUUCCCGGGGCUUGUACACACCGCCCCUCAAGCCAUGGAAGCCGGGAGUGCCUGAAGUCCGUCACCGUAAGGAGCGGCCUAGGGCAAGAUCGGUAACUAGGGCUAAGUCGUAACAAGGUA